This 102-nucleotide microRNA precursor is filed under the name Marmota monax (woodchuck). Lineage: Eukaryota; Metazoa; Chordata; Mammalia; Rodentia; Sciuridae. The record is from RNAcentral.
AAUGGGUAGCUGGGUCAAAUGGUGGUCACAUUCCAAGUCUUCUAAGGAAUCUCCAUACUGCUUUCCAGAGUGGUUGUACCAGUUUGCAGUCCCAUCAGCAAU